Unclassified non-coding RNA from Macaca fascicularis (crab-eating macaque), 148 nucleotides. It matches the Rfam family "Metazoan signal recognition particle RNA". Rfam says of the family: The signal recognition particle (SRP) is a universally conserved ribonucleoprotein. The record is from Ensembl. NCBI's taxonomy places the organism in Eukaryota, Metazoa, Chordata, Mammalia, Primates, Cercopithecidae.
GCCAGGCAUGGUGGUGGGUGCCUGUAAUCCUAGCUACUCUGGAGGCUGAGGCAGAAGAAUUGCUUGAACCCGGGAGGUGGAGGUUGCAGUGAGCCAAAAUUGCGCCACUGCAUUCCAGCCUGGGUGAUAGAGCAAGACUCAGUCUCAA